This 311-nucleotide ribosomal RNA is filed under the name uncultured eukaryote. RNAcentral's name for it is "partial 18S ribosomal RNA". It matches the Rfam family "Eukaryotic small subunit ribosomal RNA", at positions 1470 to 1796 of the family's 1831-position model. The record is from RNAcentral.
CCCUUAGAUGUCCUGGGCCGCACGCGCGUUACACUGAUGCAUUCAACGAGCUUAUAACCUUGGCCGAGAGGCCUGGGCAAUCUUGUUAACGUGCAUCGUGAUAGGGAUAGAUUAUUGAAAUUAUUAAUCUUGAACGAGGAAUUCCUAGUAAGCGCAAGUCAUCAACUUGCGUUGAUUACGUCCCUGCCCUUUGUACACACCGCCCGUCGCUACUACCGAUUGAAUGGUUUAGUGAGGCCUUCGGAUCCGCGACUCGUUUUGUGGAGAAGUUGGACAAACUCAGUCAUUUAGAGGAAGUAAAAGUCGUAACA